RNAcentral lists this ribosomal RNA (348 nucleotides) under Triticum aestivum (bread wheat). Its description in RNAcentral is "partial small subunit ribosomal RNA". Lineage: Eukaryota; Viridiplantae; Streptophyta; Magnoliopsida; Poales; Poaceae. The record is from RNAcentral.
AUGGAACAAGUCCCAGACUUGAGAAAGAAAACUCUCUAUCAAAUAUUCAGCCAAUACAGAGAUACGGCCGCACUGUCAUUAAUCAACUACACCGCAGAUAUGCUGAAAUCUGAGGUCGAUAUGGAAGACAAUGAAAUGGAACGAAUACAUUGUGACAUAAUUCAACAGGAGAUUCCUCCAACUCCCGAGCACAUUGGGACGAGCGCUCAAGAGAUAAAAGUUAUUGACAUUAAUGACACAAGCAGCAAUGAGAAGAAAAAAUAUUAUCAUGUGAACGGCAAGGAUACCACCAAGGUGUCUGAAGAAGCACUCACGGAAGAUCAAGCCCAGGCAGAUGCUGGUUUAUAG